This 5265-nucleotide long non-coding RNA is filed under the name Triticum aestivum (bread wheat). Its description in RNAcentral is "long non-coding RNA (TAES_LNC019907)". Lineage: Eukaryota; Viridiplantae; Streptophyta; Magnoliopsida; Poales; Poaceae. The record is from RNAcentral.
AACAAACUGAUGAAAGAAUGAUCAAACCGAGGGAAUUCACUCAGAACUAACAAUAAUGAUAACGUGCUCCGACUGGUGCGGUUUAGGAACUGCUGGAAGGCUCUAGGGGAAUAAAGAUGGAAUGACUUCUAAUUUUUAGGUCCGUAUGAUUUGAAAUACUUGCACACAAACCGCGCGAAAGCGUUCCUGGAAAUCUCAGCCCAAAAAAGGACGUUUAGUAAUUUUAAAAGGGACUAUAGGAUGAAAAACAAUAGUUUUGGCAAUUAAAGUUUGAGAUUCGACGGUGUCGUAGAUCCGUUUGGUCAUCAGGUGUUACGAGCCACACCCAUGUCUAGCUAGAAUAGUAUGUCAGGCUCAGGUUAGAGUAGAAACGGGGAACAAACUGAUGAAAGAAUGAUCAUACCAAGGGAAUUCACUCAGAACUAUCAAGAAUGAUAACGUGCUCCGACUGGAGUGAUUUAGGAACUGCUGGAAGGCUCUAGGGGAAUAAAGAUGGAAUGACUUCUAAUUUUUACGUCCGUAUGAUUUGAAAUACUUGCACACAAAUCACGCAAAAGCGUUCCUGGAAAUCUCAGCCUAAAAAAGGACGUUUAGUAAUUCUAAAAGGGACUACAGGAUGAAAAACAAUAGUUUGGGCAGUUAAAAUUUGAGAUUCGACGGUGCCGUAGAUCCGUUUGGUCAUCAGGUGUUACGAGCGACACCCUUGUCUAGCUAGAAUAGUGUGUUAGGCUCAGACUAGAGAAGAAACGGGGAACAAAGUGAUGAAAGAAUGAUCAUACCGAGGGAAUUCACUCAGAACUAACAAGAAUGAUAACGUGCUCCGACUGGAGCGGUUUAGUAACUGCUGGAAGGCUCUAGGGGAAUGAAGAUGGAAUGACUUCUAAUUUUUAGGUCCGUAUGAUUUGAAAUACAUGCACACAAACCCUGAGAAAGCGUUCCUGGAAAUCUCGGUCGAAAAAAGGAUGUUUAAUAAUUCUAAAAGGGACUACCGGAUGAAAAACAAUAGUUUUGGCAGUUAAAGUUUGUGAUUCGAUGGUGCCGUAGAUCUGUUUGGUCAUCAGGUGUUACGAGCCACACCCAUGUCUAUCUAGAAUAGUGUGUUAGGCUCAGGCUAGAGCAGAAACGGGGAACAGACUUAUGAAAGAAUGAUCAUACCGAGGGAAUUCACUCAGAACUAACAAGAAUGAUAACGUGCUCCGACUGGCGCGGUUUAGGAACUGCUGGAAGGCUCUAGGGGAAUAAAGAUGGAAAGACUUCUAAUUUUUAGGUCCGUAUGAUUUGAAAUACUUGCACACAAACCGCACGAAAGCGUUCCUGGAAAUCUCAGCCUAAAAAGGAUGUUUAGUAAUUCUAAAAGGGACUACAAGAUGAAAAAUAAUAGUUUGGGCAGUUAAAAUUUGAGAUUCGACGAUGCCGUAGAUCCGUUUGGUCAUCAGGUGUUAUGAGCCACACCCAUGUCUAGCUAGAAUAGUGUGUUAGGCUCAGGCUAGAGAAGAAACGGGGAACAAACUGAUGAAAGAAUGAUCAUACCGAGGGAAUUCACUCAGAACUAACAAGAAUGAUAACGUGCUCCGACUGGAGCAGUUUAGAAACUGCUGGAAGGCUCUAAUGGAAUAAAGAUGGAAUGCCUUCAAAUUUCUAGGUCCGUAUGAUUUGAAAUACUUGCACACAAACCGCUCGAAAGCGUUCCUGGAAAUCUCAGCCCAAAAAAGGACGUUUAGUAAUUCUAAAAGGGACUACAGGAUGAAAAACAAUAGUUUUGGCAGUUAAAGUUUGAGAUUCGAUGGUGCCGUAGAUCCGUUUGGUCAUCAGGUGUAACGAGCCACACACAUGUCUAGCUAGAGUAGUGUGCUAGGCUCAGACUAGAGAAGAAACGGGGAACAAAGUGAUGAAAGAAUGAUCAUACCGAGGGAAUUCACUCAGAACUUACAAGAAUGAUAACGUGCUCCGACUGGAGCGCUUUAGUAACUGCUGGAAGGCUCUAGGCGAAUAAAGAUGGAAUGACUUCUAAUUUUUAGGUCCGUAUGAUUUGAAAUACUUGCACACAAACCACGCAAAACCGUUCCUAGAAAUCUCGGUCGAAAAAAGGACGUUUAGUAAUUCUAAAAGGGACUACAGGAUGAAAAACAAUAGUUUUGGCAGUUAAAGUUUGAGAUUCGAUGGUGCCGUAGAUCCGUUUGGUCAUCAGGUGUUACGAGCCACACCCAUGUCUAGCUAGAGUAGUGUGCUAGGUUCAGACUAGAGAAGAAACGGGGAACAAAGUGAUUAAAGAAUGAUCAUACCGAGGGAAUUCACUCAGAACUAACAAGAAUGAUAACGUGCUCCGACUGGAGCGGUUUAGGAACUGCUGGAAGGCUCUAGGGGAAUAAAGAUGGAAUGACUUCUAAUUUUUACGUCCGUAUGAUUUGAAAUACAUGCACACAAACCACGCAAAAGCGUUCCUGGAAAUCUCAGCCUAAAAAAGGACGUUUAGUAAUUCUAAAAGGGACUACAGGAUGAAAAAUAAUAGUUUGGGCAGUUAAAAUUUGAGAUUCGACGCUGCCGUAGAUCCGUUUGGUCAUCAGGUCUUACGAGCCACACCCAUGUCUAGCUAGAAUAGUGUGUUAGGCUCAGGCUAGAGAAGAAACGGGGAACAAACUGAUGAAAGAAUGAUCAUACCGAGGGAAUUCACUCAGAACUAACAAGAAUGAUAACGUGCUCCGACUGGAGCAGUUUAGAAACUCCUGGAAGGCUCUAGGGGAAUAAAGAUGGAAUGACUUCAAAGUUUUAGGUCCGUAUGAUUUGAAAUACUUGCACACAAACCGCGUGAAAGCGUUCCUGGAAAUCUCAACCCAAAAAAGGGCGUUUAGUAAUUCUAAAAGGGACUACAGGAUGUAAAACAAUAGUUUUGGCAGUUAAAGUUUGAGAUUCGAUGGUGCCGUAGAUCCGUUUGGUCAUCAGGUGUAACGAGCCACACCCAUGUCUAGCUAGAGUAGUGUGCUAGGCUCAGACUAGAGAAGAAACGGGGAACAAAGUGAUGAAAGAAUGAUCAUACCGAGGGAAUUCACUCAUAACUAACAAGAAUGAUAACGUGCUCUGACUUGAGCGGUUUAGGAACUGCUGGAAGGCUAUAGGGGAAUAAAGAUGGAAUGACUUCAAAUUUUUAGGUCCGUAUGAUCUGAAAUACUUGCACACAAACCGCGAGAAAGCGUUCCUGGAAAUCUCAACCCAAAAAAGGACGUUUAGUAAUUCUAAAAGGGACUACAGGAUGAAAAACAAUAGUUCUGGCAGUUAUUGUUUGAGAUUCGAUAAUCUCGUAGAUCCGUUUGGUCAUCAGGUGUAACGAGCCACACCCAUGUCUAGCUAGAGUAGUGUGCUAGGCUCAGACUAGAGAAGAAACGGGGAACAAACUGAUGAAAGAAUGAUCAUACCGAGGGAAUUCACUUAGAACUAACAAGAAUGAUAACGUGCUCCGACUGGAGCGGUUUAGGAACUGCUGGAAGGCUCUAGGGGAAUAAAGAAGGAACGACUUCUAAUUUUUAGGUCCGUAUGAUUUGAAAUAUGUGCACACAAACCACGAGAAAGCGUUCCUAGAAAUCUCGGCCCAAAAGAGGACGUUUAGUAUUCUAAAAGGGACUACAGAAUGAAAAACAAUAGUUUUGGCAGUUAAAGUUUGAGAUUUGACGGUGCCGUAGAUCUGUUUGGUCAUCAGGGGUUACGAGCCACACCCAUGUCUAGCUAGAAUAGUGUGUUAGGCUCAGGCUAGAAAAGAAACGGGGAACAAAGUGAUGAAAGAAUGAUCAUACCGAGGGAAUUCACUCAGAACUAACAAGAAUGAUAACAUGCUCCGACUGGAGCGGUUUAGGAACUGCUGGAAGGCUCUAGGGGAAUAAAGAUGGAAUGACUUCUAAUUUUUAGGUCCGUAUGAUUUGAAAUACUUGCACACAAACCGCGCGAAAGCGUUCCUGGAAAUCUCAGCCCAAAAAAGGACGUUUAGUAAUUCUAAAAGGGACUACAGGAUGAAAAACAAUAGUUUUGGCAGUUAAAGUAUGAGAUUCAACGGUGCCGUAGAUCCGUUUGGUCAUUAGGUGUUACGAGCCACACCCAUGUCUAGCUAGAAUAGUGUGCUAGGCUCAGGCUAGAGAAGAAACGGGGAACAAACUGAUGAAAGAAUGAUCAAACCGAGGGAAUUCACUCAGAACUAACAAUAAUGAUAACGUGCUCCGACUGGAGCGGUUUAGGAACUGCUGGAAGUCUCUAGGGGAAUAAAGAUGGAAUGACUUCUAAUUUUUACGUUCGUAUGAUUUGAAAAACUUGCCCAUAAACCGCGCGAAAGUGUUCCUGGAAAUCUCAGCCCAAAAAAGGACGUUUAGUAAUUUUAAAAGGGACUACACGAUGAAAAACAAUAGUUUUGGCAGGUAAAGUUUGAGAUUCGACAGUGCCGUAGAUCCGUUUGGUCAUCAGGUGUUACGAGCCACACCCAUGUCUAGCUAGAAUAGUAUGUUACGCUCAGGUUAGAGAAGAAACGGGGAACAAACUGAUGAAAGAUGAUCAUACCAAGGGAAUUCACUCAGAACUAACAAGAAUGAUAACGUGCUCCGACUGGAGCGGUUUAGGAACUGCUGGAAGGCUCUAGGGGAAUAAAGAUGGAAUGACUUCUAAUUUUUACGUCUGUAUGAUUUGAAAUACUUGCACACAAACAACGCAAAAGCAUUCCUGGAAAUCUCAUCCUAAAAAAGGACGUUUAGUAAUUCUAAAAGGGACUACAGGAUGAAAAAUAAUAGUUUGGGAAGUUAAAAUUUGAGAUUCGAUAGUGCCGUAGAUCCGUUUGGUCAUCAGGUGUUAGGAGCCACACCCAUGUCUAGCUAGAAUAGUGUGUUAGGCUCAGGCUAGAGAAGAAACAGGGAACAAACUGAUGAAAGAAUGAUCAUACCGAGGGAAUUCACUCAGAACUAGCAAGAAUGAUAACGUGCUCCGACUGGAGCAGUUUUGAAACUGCUGGAAGGCUCUAGGGGAAUAAUGAUGGAAUGACUUCUAAGUUUUUGGUCCGUAUGAUUUGAAAUACGUGCACACAAACCCAGAGAAAGUGUUCUUGGAAAUCUCGGCCGAAAAAAGGAUGUUUAAUAAUUCUAAAAGGGACUACAGGAUGAAAAACAAUAGUUUUGGCAGUUAAAGUUUGUGAUUCGAUGGUGCUGUAGAUCUGUUUGGUCAUCAGGUGUUAUGAGCCACACCCAUGUCUAGCUAGAACAGUGUGUUAGGCUCAGGCUAGAGCAGAAACGGGGAACA